GAUGAACGCUGGCGGCGUGCCUAAUACAUGCAAGUCGAACGCAUAGCGAAAGGUGCUUGCACCUUUCAAGUGAGUGGCGAACGGGUGAGUAACACGUGGACAACCUGCCUCAAGGCUGGGGAUAACAUUUGGAAACAGAUGCUAAUACCGAAUAAAGCUUAGUGUCGCAUGACACAAAGUUAAAAGGCGCUUCGGCGUCACCUAGGGAUGGAUCCGCGGUGCAUUAGUUAGUUGGUGGGGUAAAGGCCUACCAAGACAAUGAUGCAUAGCCGAGUUGAGAGACUGAUCGGCCACAUUGGGACUGAGACACGGCCAAAACUCCUACGGGAGGCUGCAGUAGGGAAUCUUCCACAAUGGGCGAAAGCCUGAUGGAGCAACGCCGCGUGUGUGAUGAAGGCUUUCGGGUCGUAAAGCACUGUUGUAUGGGAAGAACAGCUAGAAUAGGAAAUGAUUUUAGUUUGACGGUACCAUACCAGAAAGGGACGGCUAAAUACGUG
This 497-nucleotide ribosomal RNA is filed under the name uncultured bacterium. RNAcentral describes it as "partial 16S ribosomal RNA". It matches the Rfam family "Bacterial small subunit ribosomal RNA", at positions 28 to 507 of the family's 1533-position model. The record is from RNAcentral.